Non-coding RNA from Cydia pomonella (codling moth), 72 nucleotides. Lineage: Eukaryota; Metazoa; Arthropoda; Insecta; Lepidoptera; Tortricidae. The record is from the annotation of a RefSeq genome assembly.
GGUCAGCUAGCGCAAUUGGUAAUGCGUUGGACCGGCAAUCUAAAGAUGUGGGUUCGAGUCCCACGUUGGCCA